RNAcentral lists this long non-coding RNA (1148 nucleotides) under Equus caballus (horse). RNAcentral's name for it is "lncRNA (ENSECAG00000044292.1)". The record is from RNAcentral. Lineage: Eukaryota; Metazoa; Chordata; Mammalia; Perissodactyla; Equidae.
GAUUCUUUCUCCUUUCUUAACCCAGAUUGAUUGAUCGGUUGAUUGAUAUAACCCAGCAGUGUGCAUUCCUGAUGCCUAUCUGAAUCAAUUCCUGUUUCUGAUUACUAAUUGGCCUGCUUCCUUUCGUUAAUUGCACUUUUGUGAGGACUACUCUGGGUGACCCGCAUUGUGAGCUCAUUAACAGCUUUGUUCGACCUCAGGCAGGUUAAGGCAGUCACCCAAGGUCAGACACCUAUUUAAUGGGGAGUCUGGUUUCAAACCCACAUCUGACUGACAGCAAUUCCACCCUGAGCUUUGAAGGCUCAGAAGACACAUUGCUGAGAGCAAAGCUGAAUUAACUCUGUGUGGGUUGAAGAAAGAAGACAUGAGAUUUGGAGUCAAACAGGCAGGAGUUCUAACCCUCCUCUUGCUAACUUGUGAUCCUUGGUAUCUUCUUACUGGAUAGCUGAUCAUUCUAUUAAUGAAGAAUAAUCUUGGAGAUUAAUUUGUGCUAGGAACCACAGCCAACUCCCACUGGAAUUGUCUAUCAAGAGUAAUAGUGUAGUGGAAGUGACACUUUGUGAAUUCCAGACCUAGACCUUAAGAAGUUUCCAUUGUUUGUCUUCUGGGAAACCUGUCACUACCUAAAGAAGUCUGGGCUAUAUCUCUGAAGAGAAAAGCCUUGGAAGAUAUGACUCCAUGUAGAGAGGGAGACCAUGUGGAGAACAGCCAAUGAUCCAGAUACAUAAAAUGACCACGAAAAGAAAGGCUACUCAUCCCAGAAACUGCACCAACCAUUUGAGCUGAUCCUCUGGCCUCUACCAAGCUUCCCAGGCAACACUAUGGAGAACAGAGAUGAGCCAUCCCUGCUGAUCCUUUCCUAAAUUUCUGUUCCUCAGAAUUGUGAGUAAUUUAAUGUUCAUUGUCUAAAGCCACUAAGAUUUUUUUAACACACCAAUAGACAACUUCUUUGAUUUUAUAUUUUCAUCUCUUUUUGUUUUACUAAAAAUCUUUAUUAAUACUGAUGUUUAUAUACAAUACAUUUUUAUGUUUAUCUCUUCUAUCUGUGUAUGUAUGCAUGUGCAUGUUUUUAUUAGCUUCAGAAUAAAAAUCCUAAUGUUUAAGGUUUUUGACACCACCUUAUAAACUAAUUACCCUUCUCAUGGGAG